This 59-nucleotide transfer RNA is filed under the name Cricetulus griseus (Chinese hamster). It matches the Rfam family "tRNA", at positions 8 to 63 of the family's 71-position model. Rfam says of the family: Transfer RNA (tRNA) molecules are approximately 80 nucleotides in length. Lineage: Eukaryota; Metazoa; Chordata; Mammalia; Rodentia; Cricetidae. The record is from Rfam by way of RNAcentral.
UGGCUCAGUGGGUAAGAGCUCUUGCUAUGUAAGCAUGAAGACUUGAGUUCGAAUCUCAG